CCGAUGACCAAUCUUUCGAGAGAGUGAUUCGGUGGAAAGUGGCGGAAGGGUGAGUAACGCGUGGGUAACCUACCCUUAAGUUGGGGACAACCCCGGGAAACCGGGGCUAAUACCGAAUGUGGUCCCUUGGCGCAUGUCGGGGCGACUAAAGGUGGGGAUUCUUCGGAACCUGCCGCUCAGGGAGGGGCCCGCGUGCCAUUAGCUUGUUGGUGAGGUAACGGCUCACCAAGGCGCAUGGCUAGCUGGUCUGAGAGGAUGAUCAGCCACACUGGGACUGAGACACUGCCCAGACUCCUACGGGAGGCUGCAGUCGAGGAUCAUUCGCAAUGCGCGAAAGCGUGACGAUGCGACGCUGCGUGGAGGAUGACGGCCUUCGGGUUGUAAACUCCUGUCAAGAGGGAAGAACGGUGCCGGGUUGAUAACGCCCGGUACGUGACGGUACCUCUAGAGGAAGCCACGGCUAACUCUGUGCCAGCAGCCGCGGUAAUUCAGAGGUGGCAAGCGUUGUUCGGAUUUA
This 517-nucleotide ribosomal RNA is filed under the name uncultured bacterium. RNAcentral's name for it is "bacterial SSU rRNA". It matches the Rfam family "Bacterial small subunit ribosomal RNA", at positions 63 to 553 of the family's 1533-position model. The record is from RNAcentral.